Molecule: ribosomal RNA, 253 nt
Filed under: uncultured bacterium
Lineage: Bacteria
Description: partial 16S ribosomal RNA
Rfam family: Bacterial small subunit ribosomal RNA
Source: RNAcentral
UACAGAGGGUGCUAGCGUUGUUCGGAAUUACUGGGCGUAAAGGGCGCGUAGGCGGCCUGUUAAGUCGAACGUGAAAUCCCCGGGCUCAACCCGGGAACUGCGUCCGAUACUGGCAGGCUUGAAUCCGGGAGAGGGAUGUGGAAUUCCAGGUGUAGCGGUGAAAUGCGUAGAUAUCUGGAGGAACACCGGUGGCGAAGGCGGCAUCCUGGACCGGUAUUGACGCUGAGGCGCGAAAGCCAGGGGAGCAAACGGG